This is a long non-coding RNA of Bradysia coprophila, 166 nucleotides long. The record is from RefSeq and is a predicted model, not a curated record. NCBI's taxonomy places the organism in Eukaryota, Metazoa, Arthropoda, Insecta, Diptera, Sciaridae.
AUGCCUGUUUUGGGUGACGUAUGCAUGGUCUUUUUUCGCUGGUUUGCUGGUGGCUUUACUUUUCAUCACAAGUGACGAAAUGUAACUACUUUUCAUUACAAGUGACGAAAAGUAAUUACAUUUCAUCACCAACUAUUAUAAUCUGCUGAACCAAGAAAAUGCCAUC